This 691-nucleotide unclassified non-coding RNA is filed under the name Zea mays. Its description in RNAcentral is "misc RNA Zm00001eb417860". The record is from RNAcentral. Lineage: Eukaryota; Viridiplantae; Streptophyta; Magnoliopsida; Poales; Poaceae.
GCAUCUGGCACCCUGCAGUUCCUCUCCUAUCGUUGUAUCCACAUUGGUCGCCCAGCACGCCGCCUCCCCACAACUUGCCAGCCACGCCAUUCCCUCGCUGCACCUCGCCUCGCCGCGGUCGGAACUGUGCCUCCUCGUCGUGCGCAGCAACCACAGCCCAGCCUCAACUCUAGCCCCGUCUCACCGGCGCCUGCAGCCACGGCUGCUACGCGCGUGCGCAGGGCAACACGCGCCCUCCCCUCGAUGUCUGGGCUGCUGCGCUAUCGUCGCCAUGGAGUAUCGCUGCUGUUCAUCGACGUCCACACCUCUCUGUUGGCGUUCUUCUUCUUCCGAUUGUGAUCCGUUUCCGAGCUUUGAGGGAUCGACGAUCAAGCGUUGGCGACCAAGUGAUCAAGCUCUCUGAGUUCUAUAAGGCUGAAGAUUCUGAGCAUCUGUUUGGUGAAGGUUGCCUUUAGUGCAAUCUAUGCUCAGGUAAAGAAGAAGGCGUCGAGGCGGAUCUCCAGGAGUUCCAGGACGUCGACGAGUUCGAGGAUUAGGCUAGCGACCUCCCCCAGUCAGUUGCCUGUGGUGGGUUGGUUACGUUGGCUAUGUUUCGAUUCUGUGUACUUUGAUUUAUAUUAUGUAAAUGGCUCUAGUCUGUAAUAUUAUUACUUACUCUUUAUUGUAAUUCGAAGCAUUGUGCUAUGAUGAG